ACAUAGGGGGAGGUUAGGUGGAGCGAUGAUGGCCCAAACUUAGGGGGCGACUUUCUAGUAGGUUUUUCUUUGAGUGGCCAAAAGCAACGAUGGACUCGGGCCUUAGCUCCUGCAGCCCCUCCAGGCUGUCCUCAAGAAAGUCUAUCCUACUUUUUUGACCAUGACAUCCAGCCUGGCUUUCUGCCCUACUCAGAAGUGGCUGUUUCAGCCUGGCAGUGCUGACUGAGACCAUUUGGGUCAGGGGACCUCCAACCCUAGUGGUCAUGUCCAUUCAUUAUUGUCACACCAUGAGAGUCUCCCCAAAGAGGAAGAAAUACUCAAGGGUGAGAGUAUCUAAUUUUCUUUCUUCAACUCUUCAUCAAGCUCCAGGAUGCAGUCUGCUAUGGUGGGAAAUGAUGACGGCAGGAGCUUGAGACAGCUGGUUACAUGUCACCCACAGUAUGGAAGGAAAGAUGGACGCUGAGGCUCAGCUCACGUUCUCGUUUUUAUUCACUCUAGGACCCCAGUCCAUUGAAUGGUGCCACCCACAGUAAAGUCUCUCCCACAGAUGCUUGUAGCAUACUGGCAUGCAGAUGAUGGAGUGAAUGAAGAAGGCCUUCCCGACACAGGAGGGACCAGAGUGAGGCCUAGAAGGAAGAUGGCUAGACAGUCACAGAUCUCGCCCAGAGAGGAGGUGCCACAUGCCAGGUCGGAGCGUGAAGAAGCAUGAGGAGGCUGCCAGUGCUGACCAAGAUCAUUCAGGUCAGAGGGCCUCCGACCCUAGUGGUCAUUUCCCUCCUUUCAUUGGGUCUCCCUUACCGGGAAGAUUAAUCAAGGCUUCAUCAAGGGCUGGAAUUACGGAUGUGGGCCACUUCACUUAACUCCAAGCCAGUGCUUCAUCAACUGAGUCACCUCCCCAGCCCCGGUGCCCUUUCCUGAGGACCAUUUCUCAUCUUUGCUCCCAGGAGGCUUAUUUGUGUUGAUCACUCAAGGCAAAGGACCUCUGACUCUAGCCUUCCACUGUAAGGAUCUCCCCAACCCAGGAGAUUUCUUCUGUGUGGCUAAUUUUCUGUCCUCGCCAAGGCUUCAUCAAGCUGUAAUGUACUAAGGAUUCAGAUGGUGGAGGUUGCAUGGCCACAACCUUGCAGGCACAGGACCAGAACAGAACAUGGCUUGCUUAGAAGACAGUUAAACAGUCACAGAUCCCUGCAUACAAGACAGCGCCG
This is a non-coding RNA of Peromyscus maniculatus bairdii (prairie deer mouse), 1205 nucleotides long. The record is from RefSeq and is a predicted model, not a curated record. Lineage: Eukaryota; Metazoa; Chordata; Mammalia; Rodentia; Cricetidae.